RNAcentral lists this small nuclear RNA (132 nucleotides) under Unixenus mjoebergi. RNAcentral describes it as "partial U2 snRNA". It matches the Rfam family "U2 spliceosomal RNA", at positions 25 to 155 of the family's 192-position model. From Rfam's summary of the family: U2 is a small nuclear RNA (snRNA) component of the spliceosome (involved in pre-mRNA splicing). Complementary binding between U2 snRNA (in an area lying towards the 5' end but 3' to hairpin I) and the branchpoint sequence (BPS) of the intron results the bulging out of an unpaired adenosine, on the BPS, which initiates a nucleophilic attack at the intronic 5' splice site, thus starting the first of two transesterification reactions that mediate splicing. The record is from RNAcentral. Lineage: Eukaryota; Metazoa; Arthropoda; Diplopoda; Polyxenida; Synxenidae.
GAUCAAAGUGUAGUAUCUGUUCUUAUCAGCUUAAUCUCUGAUACGCCCCCCAUUGGGGGGCCAGAUGAUUAAACUGGUUUUUGGAACAGGGCGGAGUGCUAGGGGCUUGCUCCACCUCUGCCACGGGUUGGC